RNAcentral lists this ribosomal RNA (852 nucleotides) under Triticum aestivum (bread wheat). RNAcentral's name for it is "partial small subunit ribosomal RNA". Lineage: Eukaryota; Viridiplantae; Streptophyta; Magnoliopsida; Poales; Poaceae. The record is from RNAcentral.
AUGUCGGCCGCCGCCGGCGGCAGCUCCUCCUCCUCCACAUCAGCGCCGCGGUUGGAAGGGAAGGUUGCGCUGGUUACCGGCGGCGCCUCCGGUAUCGGCGAAGCCAUCGUCCGCCUCUUCAGACAGCACGGCGCCAAGGUUUGCAUAGCAGAUGUCCAGGAUGAAGCCGGUCAGCAGCUCCGCGACUCCCUCGGAGGCGACCCCGAUGUCCUGUUCGUCCACUGCGACGUCACAGUCGAGGAAGACAUAAGCCGGGCCGUCGAUGCAACAGCCGAGAAGUUUGGCACCCUCGACAUCAUGGUCAACAAUGCCGGCAUUACGGGCGACAAGGUCACCGAUAUCCGGAACCUCGACUUUGCUGAUGUCAAGAAGGUGUUCGACAUCAACGUGCACGGCAUGCUGCUGGGCAUGAAGCACGCGGCGCGCGUCAUGAUCCCGAGCAAGAAGGGGUCUAUUGUCUCGUUGGCGAGCGUUGCCAGUGUCAUCGGAGGGAUGGGGCCUCACGCAUACACCGCGUCGAAGCACGCAGUGGUGGGUCUCACCAAGAGUGUGGCAUUGGAGCUGGGGAGGCAUGGCAUACGGGUGAACUGCGUGUCGCCGUACGCCGUGCCCACAGCGCUCUCCAUGCCGCAUUUGCCCCAGGGGGAGCAAAAGGGUGAUGCAGUGAGAGACUUCCUGGCCUUUGUUGGCAGUGAGGCAAACCUGAAAGGUGUUGAUCUGCUGCCGAAGGAUGUCGCCGAGGCGGUGCUCUACCUGGCAAGCGACGAAGCGAGGUACAUCAGCGCGCUCAACCUCGUGGUCGACGGUGGAUUUACAUCUGUGAAUGGCAACCUGAAGGCGUUUGAGGACUAG